RNAcentral lists this small RNA (275 nucleotides) under marine eukaryotic metagenome. Its description in RNAcentral is "5' ureB small RNA". It matches the Rfam family "5' ureB small RNA". The record is from RNAcentral.
AUCUGUUGCGGGCAGAUAAAAUGAAUGUGGGCGUCGAUGCCGCCGGCGGUGAUAAUCUUGCCUUCGCCACCGAUCACAUCCGUGCCGGGGCCGAUAAUAAUAUCGACAUUGUCCUGCACAUCGGGGUUGCCCGCCUUGCCGAUGGCGGCGAUGCGCCCGUUUUUAAUGCCGAUGUCGGCCUUGACGAUGCCCCAGUGAUCGAUAAUCAGCGCAUUGGUGAUGACCAGAUCGGCAACGUCAGCCGAGACGGCCUGUGAUUGUCCCAUGCCAUCACG